CAAAACGAGCAGUGUAUCCGCAAAAGCUAGUGAACACAACAGCAGAGAACACUCGGGAUUCUCCCUUUCCAUCAUACCUCUCUUUACUCAAAAUCAAAGGCUCUCAGAAAAGCCACACUUCCCACGCCACCACCACCGACCAUUACUAAGAAAACCAGCAGCACCCACCCAGCCCAUACCUUAUAACACCCCAACCCCUCAACCAUCCCCCAAAAUACUCUUAAAUCAAGGCUCACACAACAACUAUGUCUAGUCUCCACCAUUCCCUUCUCCUCAACAUCAUCAUCACUCUCUUUGCUUCCAUGUCACCAUCUCUAUCAUCUUCACCACCCCCAUUGCCUCCUCCAUCCUCAAAUGUAUCUGCUUCUUCUCUCCUCUCCUUCCUCCACAGCCUACCAAAAUCCUCUCAGCCGCUUCUCCCCUGGAACCAAUCCCUCCCCACCUGCCGCUGGGCCGGCGUUUCAUGCGCCUCUCGCUCCCCCGGCGCCAUCUCAUCCCUUAACAUCUCCGGCCUCGCCCUCGCCGGCCCCCUCGCCGCCUCUGCCCCCCACCUCUGCCGCCUCCCCUCCCUCCUCUCCCUCGACCUCAGCCUCAACCGCUUCUCCGGCCCCAUCCCCCCCCAGCUCGGCGCCUGCUCCCGCCUCCGCAUUCUCCUUCUCGACGGCAAUCUCCUCUCCGGCUCCAUCCCGCCGGAACUCUUCCGCUCCAAAUCGCUCGUAAAGCUCAACCUCGGCGACAAUGCUCUCUCCGGCUCGAUCCCUCCCGAGGUAAGAUCCUCCACUAAGCUGGAAUACCUCGGUCUGUAUCAGAAUUCAUUGAAUGGAGAGAUCCCGGAGCAGCUCUUCCUCCUCCCCAAUCUCAAAUACUUGUACCUCAACACCAACAAUCUUUCUGGGAGAUUGCUCGGCUUCCCCGCCGAUUGCUCGAUCUCCGAACUGUAUGUUCACGAGAACAUGCUCUCCGGCGAGCUCCCUCAUAGCCUGAUCAAUUGCCGGAACCUUACAUCAUUCUCUGCAUCCUAUAAUGGUUUUGGAGGAAUUCUGCCGGAUGUGUUCUCCGGCCUUCGCCGGCUGGAGGCACUCUAUCUGGAUGAUAAUAACUUCGUGGGAGAGUUGCCGAGGAGCAUAGAAAGCCUUGAGAACCUGCAAGUGCUUGAUCUUUCAGGGAAUGGUUUCAAUGGCACCAUCCCUGAAGGAAUUGGCCGAUGCCGAUCAUUGAUCACUCUCUCCUUGUGGGGGAAUCGGCUCACAGGUCCAAUCCCACCCUCGAUAGGAGACCUCAGGAAUCUGGAGUAUCUUUAUCUUGGGCAGAACCUUCUUGUGGGGUCUCUGCCGCCCGAGCUCGGGAAAUGCAGCUCCUUGGUGGAGCUUGGGCUUCAGGAAAAUCUUAUUGGAGGAUCGAUUCCCCCGGAGAUUUGUGAUCUCAAGAACCUUGAGAGCCUCUACAUCUUUAAGAACCAAUUAGAAGGAACUAUUCCUCGAGAUGUUGGGAAAAUGAGCAGUCUUGUGAGCUUGCAGUUGUAUAACAACAGUUUGAGUGGAGAGAUCCCUGCAGAGAUUACCUUUCUGAGGCAGCUGAGUUCUCUGGCUUUGGCUUUCAACAAUCUAACUGGGGAGGUGCCUCCAGCUCUCGGGAAGAGCACGGUCGGGGGUUUGGUCAUGCUGGAUUUGACAGGCAAUGAUUUUUAUGGGCCGAUCCCGACCGAUCUCUGCUCAGGUGGUAACCUUACUGUUUUGGUCAUCGGACGCAACCGCUUCAAUGGUAGCUUCCCUGUUGAGAUUGCUGGCUGUGCAUCCCUUAGGAGACUGAUACUAAGCCACAAUUGUCUACAAGGAAAUAUACCAGGAAACUUGAGUUUGAAAUUGGGAACAUCAUACUUGGACCUCAGCAGUAACUUGUUUGAUGGAAGCAUACCACCCCUUCUUGGUUCCUGGCACAACCUCUCAAUGCUUGACAUUUCAAACAAUUCUUUUUCUGGGCCUUUACCUCCCGAGCUUGGUAACCUUAGGAAUCUUCAAACUUUACGCAUCUCCUCGAACAGGUUAACGGGAUCAAUUCCCUCUGAAUUAGGUAAUUGCACAAAGCUUCUUCUCUUAGACCUCAGUGAAAAUCAACUUUCAGGAAGUAUUCCUGUGGAGAUUGCUACAUCAGAGAAGCUGCAAAGUCUGAUCCUCUCAGGGAACAAGCUUGAGGGAAGGAUUCCAGACUCCUUUACAUCCCUCCAGGGCCUACUAGAAUUGCAGCUUGGAAACAACAUGCUGGAUGGGACUAUCCCUUACAGUCUAGGUAAUCUUCGAUACAUAUAUCUAGCACUGAACCUUAGCAACAACAGAUUGACUGGCCAGAUUCCUGCUAGCCUUGGUAACCUUGAUAAGCUGCUGAUGCUUGAUUUAUCGAACAAUUCUCUGUCUGGUCAGAUUCCUUCACAACUAAACAAUAUGAACUCCCUUUCAUUUGUAAAUAUAUCUUGUAACCAACUAUCUGGGAAUCUGCCAACCAGUUGGGUUAAGCUCUUAGCUUCAUCACCAGACUCUUUCUCGGGAAUCCCUGACUUAUGUCUACUAGGCAAAGAUGGGAGUUAUUGCCAGAAAGAAAUAAAACAGCAUGGCCACAGAACUAGAUGGGUUUUACUAGCUGCAGUGGUGUCCGGCGUAGUCCUCCUAGUAGCUGGAUUAUGUGCUAUCAACUAUUUAGCUGUGAGAGCUCAUCGCCUGUCAGCUCCUCAUGUUUUGAUACAUAGUGUUGACUUGACUGAAGAUUUGCCAGGAGAUUUGACAUAUGAAGAUAUAUUGCGAGCUACUGAAGAGUUGAGUGAAAAGUAUGUGGUUGGGAGGGGCAGGCAUGGGAUUGUUUAUCGCACCAUGUUUGGAAUCGGCAAAUGUUGGGCUGUGAAGAAGCUUGAUCUAUCCGAAUCCAGCUUUUCCCUUGAAAUGAAGAUUCUGAGUUUGGUAAAGCACCGAAACAUAGUCCGAAUGGCUGGAUAUUGCAUCAGAGAUGGCUUUGGUUUCAUAAUUUAUGAGUACAUGUCUGGUGGGACACUUUUCGAAGUCCUGCAUCAGAGAACGCCUCAAGUGGCCUUGGACUGGAAAACCCGUCAUCAUAUUGCUCUCGGGAUAGCCCAAGCCCUGUCCUAUCUUCAUCAUGACUGUGUGCCACAGAUUAUUCAUAGGGAUGUGAAAUCAAACAACAUAUUAAUGGACUCUGAACUAGAAGCCAAGAUCGGAGACUUUGGAAUGGCUAAAAUGAUCAAGAAUUCAGAUGUUAGUUCAACAAUAUCUUCAAUCAUAGGAACUCUUGGCUACAUUGCCCCUGAAAAUGGCUAUUCAACCAGACUGACUGAGAAAAGUGACGUUUACAGCUAUGGAGUCGUUCUGUUAGAGCUUCUUUGUAGAAAAUUACCAGUAGAUCCCAGCUUUGAAGAUGGAGUUGACAUUGUUCAAUGGAUAAAAUCAAAUUUGCAGAAGUUUGAUGAGUGUAGUCCUCUUGAUUGCCUUGACGAAGAAAUCUGGUACUGGGUGGAAGAUGAGAAGGCAAAAGCACUGAAGCUAAUGGAUCUAGCAGUAUCGUGUACUCAGUGGGCAUGCGAAGCAAGGCCCUCCAUGAGAGAAGUAGUAGGGAUCUUGCUCAAGUUGGAAGGAUAGUAUAAUUAAUUUACUUCUGCUCAAGAGGAUCCUGCAUCACCAAGGGGAAGCUAGAGGAGUGCUAGUUAAGUCCCUUCUUUCUGGAUGCUUUUCAGAAUUGACAUCCAUGGAUCAAAUUGAAGAGCCUAACAGUUUAGUUGAUCCUGGCCAAUUAAUACAAUCAUGUAGGAUGUCUUUGCUGGGUCCUGAUUCAGUAUAUAUUUCAACUUGGUGCCUAGCUGCAAAGAUGAGGCUUGUGAUCUUGGCAGCUGUAUAUCCGAAGGGAAGGUUGGUGACUCUCACUUCCUCAGAAUACCCUGUACAUGUUAAAUCAUCCUAAAUCCAAGCUGUAAGCUUUUCACAGAAUCGAUGAUGCCUGAAGGAAUGGCCGGCCUAGUGCCUAUUGUGCCUACCAGUAAGAUGUUAGGGACCUAAGAUCUUAUGUAGUUCUCAACAUGUAUAAUUCUGUUUUUGCAAGAAACCCUAUGCAAAUUGGUUGGCAGUGCAUCCUUUUGUUUUUCAGUUUGGGAGUAGGGGAAGAAUAAAAAUGGUACAGGAAUUCUGAAGUUUUGUCUAUGCUAAAAUUGGUGACUCUUUACUUUCUUUUGAUCCAAAAUUGUUUCCAUUA
Non-coding RNA from Phoenix dactylifera (date palm), 4248 nucleotides. The record is from RefSeq and is a predicted model, not a curated record. Lineage: Eukaryota; Viridiplantae; Streptophyta; Magnoliopsida; Arecales; Arecaceae.